GAUGAACGCUAGCGGCAGGCUUAAUACAUGCAAGUCGAGGGGCAGCAUAAGUAGCAAUACUUGAUGGCGACCGGCAAACGGGUGCGGAACACGUACAGAACCUUCCUUCGAGCGGGGGAAUAGCCCGGAGAAAUCCGGAUUAAUACCCCAUAGUAAAUUGAAAAGGCAUCUUUUUAAUUUUAAAGAUUUAUCACUUGAAGAUGGCUGUGCGCCUGAUUAGGUAGUUGGCGGGGUAACGGCCCACCAAGACCUUCGAUCAGUAACUGGUGUGAGAGCACGACCAGUCACACGGGCACUGAGACACGGGCCCGACUCCUACGGGAGGCAGCAGUAAGGAAUAUUGGUCAAUGGACGCAAGUCU
RNAcentral lists this ribosomal RNA (361 nucleotides) under uncultured bacterium. Its description in RNAcentral is "bacterial SSU rRNA". It matches the Rfam family "Bacterial small subunit ribosomal RNA", at positions 28 to 384 of the family's 1533-position model. The record is from RNAcentral.